Molecule: ribosomal RNA, 460 nt
Filed under: uncultured bacterium
Lineage: Bacteria
Description: partial 16S ribosomal RNA
Rfam family: Bacterial small subunit ribosomal RNA
Source: RNAcentral
CCUACGGGAGGCUGCAGUGAGGAAUAUUGGUCAAUGGACGAGAGUCUGAACCAGCCAAGUAGCGUGAAGGAUGACUGCCCUAUGGGUUGUAAACUUCUUUUAUAUGGGAAUAAAAUGUUCCACGUGUGGGAUUUUGUAUGUACCAUAUGAAUAAGGAUCGGCUAACUCCGUGCCAGCAGCCGCGGUAAUACGGAGGAUCCGAGCGUUAUCCGGAUUUAUUGGGUUUAAAGGGAGCGUAGGUGGAUUGUUAAGUCAGUUGUGAAAGUUUGCGGCUCAACCGUAAAAUUGCAGUUGAAACUGGCAGUCUUGAGUACAGUAGAGGUGGGCGGAAUUCGUGGUGUAGCGGUGAAAUGCUUAGAUAUCACGAAGAUCUCCGAUUGCGAAGGCAGCUCACUGGACUGCAACUGACACUGAUGCUCGAAAGUGUGGGUAUCGAACAGGAUUAGAUACCCUGGUAGUC